This is a long non-coding RNA of Mirounga angustirostris (Northern elephant seal), 2275 nucleotides long. RefSeq lists it as uncharacterized. NCBI's taxonomy places the organism in Eukaryota, Metazoa, Chordata, Mammalia, Carnivora, Phocidae. The transcript has 6 exons. The record is from RefSeq and is a predicted model, not a curated record.
CCCAAAGAAGACGCUAACGUUCUAGGGAUGAAGAAAGAACUGAAUGAUCGGGAAGGAAGGAGGAAAAUCAUAAUAAGCCAGUCAUCAAAACAAAAGGCUAACAUUUUUUAAGACUGAUGGAUGGGGACAGAAAAGAAACGAGAGAAACAAGGAAAUGCGUGCUGUUGUGGGGAGGACACAGACCACAGUCGGCGCUGUGCAGGUGGGGCUGGGAGCCCAUCUCCUCCCUUGGUCCCAGCUCCGAAGCAUACAGACUCCCCUGUGGAAGCGAUACUCCACUGAGGUUUUCCCAUCAUCACAACACAAUGGCUGAAAACCACCCGAGAUGAAUCUGUGCUUGGCAAAUCGAGGGUAUGCUCCAGACGAAGCUUCUACCCUGGAGCAGAAGAGUAACAUAAGCACUGCUUCAGUUCAUCCUCACGUUGACCUUGAAGAGAGGACCUAUCAUUGCUCCCACUUAAGGUGUAAGGGAGCUGAAGUUUCUGGAAUGCCUCCCAGCUGUAAGUGGUGACCAACACACACUGGGUCCAGAGCCCCCAGGGCUCCCUGAGCUCAGUUACAGGUUUCCGGCAGGGAAGACCAGUCUUAUGGCUGCACUGCAGGCCAGAAACAGAGCAGCUCCCAGCUCAGGGGAGCAUCUGGGAAAUGCUGCCGAGUGCAUGCUGCCUCUGCGUAGGGGUCUACGCACUGCGGCGAGGCCUCCAGCGAAAGGCCCAGACACCUCUGAAGCAUCUUUGAUGUUAUAAUGGAAUUCAGUGGUGGUGAAGACUGAGGGAAAACCACUGCGUUGGAUGGUGGGUUAAGGAUUCUCUUCCUGACCAGCCAGACGCAGGCACCAGGCCAGAAGAAGCUCUCCUGUCUCCAGCUUGUGGACCACAGAUCUCGGGACUUCUCAGCCACCAUAAUCAUGAACACCACUGGUAUUUUGACAUAACCCUCAUUUUCGCCAAGUGCCCUGUUGCUGUGUUCACUCUCCAUCUGGGACAUUGUCCAUACUUGGUGAGCGCCUUCUGCGAUCAGGGGGACAGCAUGCUGCCCAACACCCGUGUGUGGCUGAGAGCCCCAGGUCAAGCUCCUCCGUCUGACCACGCUCUCGGUUCUCGCCUCUUUAUGGGAAUUUCUCACACCAGGACUCUGGAAACUCGGCCCGGGUUAUUUCACACCUCAGUAUUCGUUGCUCCCAACACCGCGCCUUUCCCCGAAACAGAACUGCAAUCUGAAAGGACUGAUUUCUGCCGUAUGCUCCGUGCUUCUCCUAUUUAGCACCGGCAAUUCAAAAGGUGUACUGAGUAUGAGUCGGACCAGUUCAUUAGCACGAGUCACUGUGCAGUAUGUACUCUUCAGGGAAGGAAGGGACCCGUCUGGAAGAAGCCCGCCAUCAGCAUUCAUUUAUGGAAUUGUUGCCGUUUCGCUGUUCCGCUUCUGUGUGGUCGCUGCUCUCUAGAUACCUGUCCCACGGGUCCUGCCUGGUCCCCACGGACCUUACCCUCAGCCGGUAUCUUCGCUUCUCUAUUCCCAACGCCUUCGCCUUCCUGGGCUCCUCAAGUUCAUCUGUGGGCUUGUAACUCCUGCUUCCCGGCCCCCUGCAGCCGGCACGGAGCCUCCUCGCCCGCUCCCGGGGCCCUUGGUGCGGGGCCUCCUCGCCUGCUCCUGGGGCCCUCAGUCAGAUGCUCAGGACACUUGUCACACUGCCACUGAGAAGCUGAUGGCCCAGAUUUUGAGCACUUUGAGCGGCUACCGAGUAGUGACCACGUCCUUUCCUGCAUCCUCACAAAAGAGCACCGGGCCUGGGGCUCAGGAGAUAAUGCUUCCUUUCGAAUGAGUGAGGGAAAGACGAGCGGAGACUUGAGUCUCCUGGGACCGGCUGCCCGCAGCCUCUGGGUGGCGGGUCUCCUGGGCUCCCCCUCCUCUGCCCAGGAGGCCGUGGGGACCCCUCCGCCCGUGUCAGCUUGCGAGAGCCAGACCGUGCACUGCCAAGAGUGGAGGCAAGGGGGACCGAGGGAUGAGCCAUCUGAGCGGUGGCUGCGUGGGGGUUUUAAGCCACGGCAGCCGCCACAGCCCAGCCACGGCAGCAGGGACUGGACUAGAGAGCGCGCGGGCGAGGCCGAGACAGGCAGGUCUGCUCUGUGUGCUGGGGGGGCUUUAAGCAGGGUGCACAGUGAGGACCUGACUUCUGCUUUAGAAAGAGCACCUGCCCGCGGAGCAGAGUGUAGACCGCGGUGGGGCCGGUCGGUGUUCGGAAGCCCGAAAGGAAGGCUUGAAGAAUUUCAGGUGG